CCCGAUUCCCCUUAGAGUUUGAUCCUGGCUCAGGACGAACGCUGGCGGCGUGCCUAACACAUGCAAGUCGAACGAAAUUUACUUUUCCACUAAGAUCUUGAGUGACAACAUCAAGCACGAAGUGCUUUACGCAUUUCCAAGCUUGCCAACACAAUUCGAGUUUUUAGUGGAAAAGUAAAUUUAGUGGCGGACGGGUGAGUAACGCGUGAACAAUCUGCCCUAUACAAAGGAAUAGCCUCGGGAAACCGGGAUUAAAACCAUAUAACACUUUUCGGUCGCAUGACUGAGAAGUCAAAUUGAUUAAGAGGUAUAGGAUGAGUUCGCGUCUGAUUAGCUAGUUGGUGAGGUAAUGGCUCACCAAGGCGACGAUCAGUAGCCGGCCUGAGAGGGUGAACGGCCACACUGGAACUGAGACACGGUCCAGACUCCUACGGGAGGCAGCAGUGGGGAAUAUUGCACAAUGGGCGAAAGCCUGAUGCAGCGACGCCGCGUGAGUGAAGAAGGUCUUCGGAUCGUAAAACUCUGUCCUUGGGGAAGAUAAUGACGGUACCCAAGGAGGAAGCCCCGGCUAACUACGUGCCAGCAGCCGCGGUAAUACGUAGGGGGCGAGCGUUGUCCGGAUUUACUGGGCGUAAAGGGUGAGUAGGCGGUUAUUUAAGUCAGAUGUAAAAGGCUAUGGCUCAACUAUAGUAAGCAUUUGAAACUGGAUAACUUGAGUGCAGGAGAGGUAAGUGGAAUUCCUAGUGUAGCGGUGAAAUGCGUAGAUAUUAGGAGGAACACCAGUGGCGAAGGCGACUUACUGGACUGUAACUGACGCUGAGUCACGAAAGCGUGGGUAGCAAACAGGAUUAGAUACCCUGGUAGUCCACGCUGUAAACGAUGAGUGCUAGGUGUUGGCUAGCGAUAGUCAGUGCCGACGUAAACACAAUAAGCACUCCGCCUGGGGAGUACGGUCGCAAGACUGAAACUCAAAGGAAUUGACGGGGACCCGCACAAGCAGCGGAGCAUGUGGUUUAAUUCGAAGCAACGCGAAGAACCUUACCAAGGUUUGACAUCCCCUUGACAGAUGCAGAGAUGUGUCCUCUCCUUCGGGAGCAAGGGAGACAGGUGGUGCAUGGUUGUCGUCAGCUCGUGUCGUGAGAUGUUGGGUUAAGUCCCGCAACGAGCGCAACCCUUAUCCUUAGUUGUCAGCAGGUCAAGCUGGACCCUCUAAGGAGACUGCCGGUGAUAAACCGGAGGAAGGGGGGGAUGACGUCAAAUCAUCAUGCCCCUUAUAUCUUGGGCUACACACGUGCUACAAUGGU
RNAcentral lists this ribosomal RNA (1304 nucleotides) under uncultured bacterium. Its description in RNAcentral is "bacterial SSU rRNA". It matches the Rfam family "Bacterial small subunit ribosomal RNA", at positions 1 to 1234 of the family's 1533-position model. The record is from RNAcentral.